Molecule: ribosomal RNA, 418 nt
Filed under: Saturnispora diversa
Lineage: Eukaryota; Fungi; Ascomycota; Pichiomycetes; Pichiales; Pichiaceae
Description: partial large subunit ribosomal RNA
Rfam family: Eukaryotic large subunit ribosomal RNA
Source: RNAcentral
UGGAACGGGGUGCCAUAGAGGGUGAGAGCCCCGUGAGUUGUCUUUUUAGCUCUUUAAGUCUUUACCAAAGAGUCGAGUUGUUUGGGAAUGCAGCUCUAAGUGGGUGGUAAAUUCCAUCUAAGGCUAAAUACCGGCGAGAGACCGAUAGCGAACAAGUACAGUGAUGGAAAGAUGAAAAGCACUUUGAAAAGAGAGUGAAACAGUACGUGAAAUUGUUGAAAGGGAAGGGUAUUUGGCCCGACAUGGGUUCUGUGCACCGUUGCCUCUUGUAGGCGGCGCUCUGCUGGAGCCUGGGCCAGCAUCAGUUUUCCGGCGAGGAUAAGAAGUUUUGAACCACAUUGUGGGGAUGAGUUUGAUGCUCGCAUGGGGGACUGAGGACUGCCGUUGUAGGAUGCUGGCAUAACGGCCAAAUACCGCC